This 649-nucleotide ribosomal RNA is filed under the name uncultured bacterium. Its description in RNAcentral is "bacterial SSU rRNA". It matches the Rfam family "Bacterial small subunit ribosomal RNA", at positions 43 to 738 of the family's 1533-position model. The record is from RNAcentral.
CAGGCCUAACACAUGCAAGUCGAACGAGACCUUCGGGUCUAGUGGCGCACGGGUGCGUAACGCGUGGGAAUCUGCCCUUGGGUUCGGAAUAACUCGCCGAAAGGCGUGCUAAUACCGGAUGAUGUCGUAAGACCAAAGAUUUAUCGCCCAGGGAUGAGCCCGCGUAAGAUUAGGUAGUUGGUGAGGUAAAGGCUCACCAAGCCGACGAUCUUUAGCUGGUCUGAGAGGAUGAUCAGCCACACUGGGACUGAGACACGGCCCAGACUCCUACGGGAGGCAGCAGUGGGGAAUAUUGGACAAUGGGCGAAAGCCUGAUCCAGCAAUGCCGCGUGAGUGAUGAAGGCCUUAGGGUUGUAAAGCUCUUUUACCCGGGAUGAUAAUGACAGUACCGGGAGAAUAAGCUCCGGCUAACUCCGUGCCAGCAGCCGCGGUAAUACGGAGGGAGCUAGCGUUGCUCAGAAUUACUGGGCGUAAAGCGCACGUAGGCGGCUUUGUAAGUCAGAGGUGAAAGCCUGGAGCUCAACUCCAGAACUGCCUUUGAGACUGCAUCGCUUGAAUCCAGGAGAGGUGAGUGGAAUUCCGAGUGUAGAGGUGAAAUUCGUAGAUAUUCGGAAGAACACCAGUGGCGAAGGCGGCUCACUGGACUGGU